RNAcentral lists this ribosomal RNA (253 nucleotides) under uncultured bacterium. RNAcentral's name for it is "partial 16S ribosomal RNA". It matches the Rfam family "Bacterial small subunit ribosomal RNA", at positions 524 to 776 of the family's 1533-position model. The record is from RNAcentral.
UACGGAGGGUGCGAGCGUUAAUCGGAAUUACUGGGCGUAAAGCGCACGCAGGCGGGCAAUUAAGUCAGAUGUGAAAGCCCCGAGCUUAACCUGGGAAUUGCAUUUGAAACUGGGUGGCUAGAGUCCUGUAGGGGGGGGUAGAAUUCCAUGUGUAGCGGUGAAAUGCGUAGAGAUGUGGAGGAAUACCGGUGGCGAAGGCGGCCCCCUGGACAUGGACUGACGCUCAUGUGCGAAAGCGUGGGGAGCAAACAGG